UGGCGUCUUCGGCGUCCGCAUUGUAAUCUCAAGAAGUGUUUUCCGCUUCGGACCAUGCCUAAGUCCCUUGGAAAAGGGCAUCAUAGAGGGUGAUAAUCCCGUACAUGGCAGGGAGCGCCCGAAGCUUUGUGAUACGCUUUCUAAGAGUCGAGUUGUUUGGGAAUGCAGCUCAAAAUGGGUGGUAAAUGCCAUCUAAGGCUAAAUAUUGGGGAGAGACCGAUAGCGAACAAGUACAGUGAUGGAAAGAUGAAAAGAACUUUGAAAAGAGAGUUAAACAGUACGUGAAAUUGCCAAAAGGGAAGGGUAGGAGGUCAGAGAUGCGGCCUGGGAUUCAGCCUUGCUUUUGCUUGGUGUUUUUCCCAGAUUGCAGGCCAACGUCGGUUUUGGGCACUGGAGAAGGGUAGGAGGAACGUGGCACCUCUCGGGGUGUGUUAUAGCCUCCUACUGGAUACAGCGACCGAGACCGAGGACAGCAGCGUACUCGCAAGAGCGGGCCUUCGGGCACCUUUACGCUUAGGGCGUUGGCAUAAUGGCCCUCUACCACC
Molecule: ribosomal RNA, 545 nt
Filed under: Pseudozyma sp. DMKU-SP298
Lineage: Eukaryota; Fungi; Basidiomycota; Ustilaginomycetes; Ustilaginales; Ustilaginaceae
Description: LSU rRNA
Rfam family: Eukaryotic large subunit ribosomal RNA
Source: RNAcentral